Molecule: unclassified non-coding RNA, 365 nt
Filed under: soil metagenome
Description: partial contains 5.8S ribosomal RNA, internal transcribed spacer 2, and large subunit ribosomal RNA
Rfam family: 5.8S ribosomal RNA (bases 1-120)
Source: RNAcentral
GAUGAAGAACGUAGCGAAAUGCGAUAAGUAAUGUGAAUUGCAGAAUUCAGUGAAUCAUCGAAUCUUUGAACGCACAUUGCGCCCGCCAGCAUUCUGGCGGGCAUGCCUGUUCGAGCGUCAUUUCAACCCUCGCAGCCCAUCUGGGCAGCGGUGUUGGGGACCGGCACCACCGGCGAAGCCCUUAGGGGCCCAGCCGGCGCCGCCCCCGAAAUACAGUGGCGGUCUCGCUGCAGCCUCCCUUGCGUAGUAGCACACCUCGCACCGGAGCGCAGCGCGGCCACGCCGUAAAACCCCCGACUUUCUGAGUUUGACCUCGAAUCAGGUAGGAAUACCCGCUGAACUUAAGCAUAUCAAUAAGCGGAGGA